Molecule: long non-coding RNA, 864 nt
Organism: Astatotilapia calliptera (eastern happy)
Lineage: Eukaryota; Metazoa; Chordata; Actinopteri; Cichliformes; Cichlidae
Source: Ensembl
GGGAUGCCAGGCCAGAGCUAUCCAUCAAAUUAGUUGGGACCUGGAUGGCAGGUUUUGAACAGACCUCUGAAUCACCACUGGUGUCUUAUAGAGGGAUCAUAACCAGAGUGAAUUUCAAAGAUUCCCUGCUAACAUCUACCAAGGCUUUUUGUCCACUUUUCUCCUGUGAAAAACACAAUGACGAAGCACGUUGCCCUCUUGCUCAUUCUUUUCCCCGUGUGUGGACAUCUGCUGGACAUCAAGUUUUAUAAUGACCCUUACAAGUGUACCUGGGAAGAGGCAGUAGCAUUCUGCAGGAAGAACCACACUGACUUGGUCCGAGUGAGAACUGCAGAAGAGGAUGAAGCUCUACAGUACUCUGGAUGGAUCGGUUUGUCCCGGAAGGAUGCAACAAGUCCAUGGAAAUGGUCCAGAGGAGGCAAAAUAGCCAUCUUCACACCAUGGGAUGGCGCACCAAAAAAGGAUGAAAACUGUGUGAACAGAAAACGCGACGGAAAAUGGGAAAGCAAGAAGUGUGAUGAAAAACGUAAUUUCCUAUGUUAUGAGGAAAAGCUGAUUCUGGUGAAGGAGAAUAAAACAUGGGAGGAGGCAUUAGAACACUGCAGGUCUCUGGAUGGAGUGGUCACAGAAGAUCCAGCCUCUUCAUACAGGAACCACGGCUAUGACCUGGCCUCCCUGAUCACUCCAGAUGACUACACCACUGCACGAUGCAUUUACAUGUCCCAAUUCGAAGUGUACUCCAAAUGCGCCGAUUUCCCCAAAUAUCAAGCGUGGUCCGUGUCGCUACCCGAUCCGUACCGGAAACCCGAUCGGUACCCCGCAUGCGCGAAAGGUGUCUACUUCCGGUCGUAGCGUUUUACGAUA